AUCGCUUCUCUGCCUUUUGGCUAAGAGCAAGUGUAGUAUCUGUUCCUAUCAGUUUAAUAUCUGAUACGCCCCCUACCCGGGGGCCAUAUAUGAAAUUGAUUUUUGGAAAAGGGAGUCGGAAUAGGGGCUUGCUCCGUCCACUCCACGCAUCGACCUGGUAUUGCAGUACCUCCAGGAAAAAAUAAAAAAUAA
This is a small nuclear RNA of Engraulis encrasicolus (European anchovy), 192 nucleotides long. RefSeq annotates it as U2 spliceosomal RNA. The record is from RefSeq and is a predicted model, not a curated record. The transcript has a single exon. NCBI's taxonomy places the organism in Eukaryota, Metazoa, Chordata, Actinopteri, Clupeiformes, Engraulidae.